Molecule: ribosomal RNA, 253 nt
Filed under: uncultured bacterium
Lineage: Bacteria
Description: partial 16S ribosomal RNA
Rfam family: Bacterial small subunit ribosomal RNA
Source: RNAcentral
UACGGAGGGUGCCAGCGUUAAUCGGAAUUACUGGGCGUAAAGCGUGCGCAGGCGGUCUUGCAAGACAGAUGUGAAAUCCCCGGGCUUAACCUGGGAACUGCAGUCGAGACUGUCUAGCUAGAGUAUGGGAGAGGGAAGUGGAAUUUCAGGUGUAGCGGUGAAAUGCGUAGAUAUCUGAAGGAACAUCAGUGGCGAAAGCGACUUCCUGGACCAAUACUGACGCUCAUGUGCGAAAGCGUGGGGAGCAAACAGG